Long non-coding RNA from Numida meleagris (helmeted guineafowl), 2133 nucleotides. NCBI's taxonomy places the organism in Eukaryota, Metazoa, Chordata, Aves, Galliformes, Numididae. The record is from Ensembl.
UGCUUUUCUUGCCACAUGUGAUUCUUUUUUUUCCACUUCUCUUUGUUUUUUUUAUUGUUACUUACUAUCCAUGGGAGAUGUGCAAAGGCCUAUGUGACAGCGGUCAGUAAGCCCAUCGUAGGGAGCAGGUGGUAGAUCCUGAAUUAGCAAUAACUUGCAGUGGUUAUUAUGCCUAGAACAAGCGAGCUGAAUUCCCAGAUAAAUGAAACUAAUUAAACAUGCUGCUAUAAAAAUGAAAGCCUUUCUUGUUUGUUUGUUUGUUUUCGGUGAGUUGGCUUUUGUUGCUGUGGCUGGUUUUGUAGCUUUGUUGUUGUUUGGGAAUUUUGUUUUAUUCUUUUUCAGUGUUGCAGCAAAUCUGCAAACAUCUGCAGACUGCUGCUGUGUUUCACAGCAAUGCUGCUAACUGCAGCAUUGGCCUUGCUUUCAGCCCCAGGUGUAACAAACGUGGUCACUGGAUUUCUAGAAGGUUCCAGAGAUGUGCAUGGAAGAAAGAGCCCUCUUGCAGAAGCAUAGCCUGGUGACUCUUCCUUCUUCCUCCCCCAUCUUCCUUCAGAAACUGCAAAACCUGUCCCUGCAGUCUGCAGGAACUUCGUGCCCACUGGAAGACUCCAUCCCAAAGGGAAGGAACCCUGUCACCAGGGCAUGCAGUGGGCAUGGGUGGCAGCUGCUUGCAUGCAGGUUUCAGAGCAACCAGAGAAACAGGUUCUGCUGAACUUGAUGAUGGCACUUCUGUACAGCCAAGAUCACUGUUCUGUGUCCAAGAGGGUCUCAAAUGUUGGGGUAGCUGCAGGUGUUGAGGAUCAUAUUUGCAGGGAGCAAUGAAUGCGCACAAGCUUGGAAACAGUCACCACGAAAUACCCAGGCCAGCCGAGGCUUCGGACAGACUGAAGAAAACAAAAAGCCAAACUGGAAGAAACAGAGAGAAAAAGCGCAGUCAGCGGGGCAGCGCUGUGCAGUGGUGCUGGGGCUGUUUGCAGAGGCUCAUCCCCCAGCUGCAAUCUUUCAGCCACGCGCUGCAGUUCGCGGAUCUGACCGCUGUGCACGGCAGUGCCCAGGUGCAGGACCCAGCCUGGCUGCUCGUACCCGCGCUCGCAGGCAAGUUGCUCGGCCAUCUGAUGGUUGGAAUAGGAUGAUUUGUAAGGUCCCUUUGAACCAAACCAUUCUGUGAUUCUUCUGCUUGGUGUUACCUGUAGAUUCUGUUCUUUCUCCACCAGCUUCUCUGAGGAUGGUAAUUCCUCCACCUUGUGCAGUGUUCUGCUGCUGCUCCUUUGACAGCUGUUUGUAAGGAGCUGACUCCUGUCCGUGCUGUUUCUGUGGUCUCAAUUCAGCUGUCUAAAUGGGAGUUUCUCCAAUUUCUCACGCUCUGGCAAAUCCUGCUGGCCUCCAGCUGUGGGUCCCAGUGGUCUGAGGUCUGCUGCAAGGGCAGCCACGUGCUUGCAGUGUCCAGAGCAGCCCCAGCCAUGGCAGAACUGGAUGCUUCCAUGCAGGAGAAUGAAUCAAGCCUCGCUUUUCUCUAUUCUCUGUUGCAUCUCAAAGUAGUAAUAACUGUUAAGAAUGGAACAUGUUCAUCCUUCAAGAAUCUUCUCUCAUCCAUCUUCUAGAGCUUUCACUCAAGCUGACCUUUCUGAAUGUCUGGCUGGAGACUUUCCUCUUCAGUUGAAUGAACUUGGAGCAUCUUUGGAUGCUCUGCUGGAAGGAAAUUCGGAGACAACCAGAACGUACGCAGAGGUUCUCAGGCAUCUGCUGGGAAUAUGGCCCAUGUUCUCAUGAUCCAGCGUGCCAGACAGGAUGAAUUACUGCUCCAAAUGCAUUAAGCCUUUUACGUUCCAAGUGGUUGUGCAGUGGGAGCCACUGGUGGUGCUGAUUGAAAUUCCUGUAACCAUAUUACGGGAGGGAGCGGGUGCCAGACACACAAGCAUCCAUAUGCCCAGCUAAAUUUACUCAGAAUUGAUUAAGUUACGCUGAAGGAGACCCAGAAAUCAAUCUGUUUGGGCUUGCUCAUGGAAAAAUGACACACUGGAGGUGACACAACUUAAUUCUGUUUUCAUCGCUCUCUCCCAUGCAAGUAGGAUGGGCAUAUUGCAUCUCACGUGUCUUCUCCCCAGUUAAUUAUAUUUGUGAAGAUUAUAUAUA